UGGAUCAAAAAACCGUUUAGGGUUCAGUAAUAGGGUUUAAGGGUUUUCAGUUUUCCCAUUUUCCCUUACUCUUUCACAUUCAUUCCCAGGGAUAUAUGGUAAGACCUCAAUUUGUCUUCAAAUUUCGUUCAAAUUUUCAUUUCAACUUAAGUUUUGAAUAAUUAUUCGAAGAAUUUUCUCUCACAGAUGCAAAAUAUCUGAUGCAUCAACGUAUAGUAAUUUCCAGUCAUCGGGUACUGAAAAUUACUUCAGUUUUUUCACCAAAAAUUUGUGCUUUAUUUAUCCCACAAUUGAAUUUUUGUAACCGUAGAAAUAAUGUGUUCACUGUAUUUAGUGCAAAUAUGUACACUUCCACACAUACUAAUAGGAGAGCACCGGACCCGAAUGAUCCGGCCACCUUAAUGAAAGAAGAUGGUAUAUCACUUUGUUGUAGAAUGUGGAUUGAUAGUUUUCGAGAAUCCGAUAAAACUGUGACUAAUUUAACUGAUUAUUUGAGGAGGUUUGAAUUGUGGGUAUUGGCUUAUCAAAAGGUUUCUGCUGAUGACACGGGCGCAUAUAUGCCCCGGAGCGCGAUAACGCGGUCAGCACUUGAGGAUUUGUUGGCCUUGAGAAAUGCAGUUCUUGAUAAUAGGUUUAAGUGGGGGGCUAGGUUGGAGUUUUUCAUUAAGUCUCCGAGGGAUAAGACGGAUUAUGAGUCGCUGUCGAAGAGGAAGAUUAAAGCUAUCUUGACUACGACACAGCCGAGCCCGUUUCAAGAUAGGGUUGUUCAGGAAGUGUUGUUUAUGAUAUUGGAGCCAGUUUAUGAGGCUCGGUUUUCGCAAAAGUCAUUCGCUUUUCGACCUGGAAGGACUGCGCACACGGCUUUGAGGGUUAUCAGGAGAAGCUUUGCGGGGUAUUUGUGGUAUAUAAAGGGAGAUUUAAGUACGGUUUUGGACGGGAUGAAGGUUGGGAUGGUGAUUAGUGCGCUGAUGAGAGAUGUACGUGAUAAGAAGGUAGUUGAUUUGAUAAAGGCUGCUUUAACUACUCCUGUUGUAACUAGCAGACCUGAUGACGGUGAGAAAAAGAAGAAGACGAAAAGAAAGUAUCAGAAAAAGAGAGUCCUAGCAGAUGAUGAGCCGAAGCCUGAUCCAUACUGGCUGGAAUCGUUCUUUGGGUUUGCUCCAGAGGAGGCCGCGAAAGUUCCUUCAUGGGGUCAUUGUGGUAUACUCAGUCCGCUUUUGGCUAAUGUUUGCCUUGAUGAGUUGGACCGCUGGAUGGAAGGUAAGAUCCAGGAGUUUUAUCGGCCUUCAAAGAAUGAUGUUAUUUGGAAUAGUCCGGAAGGGGAAGUAGAACAAGGAAAUACUUCUUGGCCCGAAUUUGUUCCUACGAGUGGGCCUGACAAGACCAGGAAGAUUGACUACAUCCGUUUUGGUGGUCACAUUCUAAUAGGGGUAAGGGGACCAAGAGCAGAUGCCGCAACACUAAGAAAGCAGUUGAUUGAGUUCUGUGAUCAGAAAUACAUGCUCAAGCUUGAUAAUGAGAGCCUUCCUAUUGAACACAUAACAAAAGGUAUUAUGUUUCUUGAUCAUGUAUUGUGCCGUAGAGUAGUAUAUCCCACACUCAGAUAUACUGCUACUGGUGGGAAAAUCAUUAGUGAAAAGGGUGUAGGGACACUGUUGUCUGUCACAGCUAGCCUGAAACAAUGCAUUAAACAAUUUAGAAAGUUGAACUUUCUCAAGGGAGACAGGGAUCCAGAUCCACAGCCGUGUUUUAGAAUGUUUCAUGCUACUCAAGCCCAUACAAAUGCUCAGAUGAAUAAGCUUUUGGCCACAAUGGUGGAGUGGUUCAGAUAUGCUGAUAAUAGAAAAAAGAUUGUUAAUUUUUGUUCUUAUAUCAUUAGAGGUUCACUUGCUAAGCUCUAUGCUGCAAAAUAUAAGCUUCGGUCACGGGCAAAGGUUUACAAGAUUGGUUCUAGGACUCUAAGUCGUCCUCUGAAGGAGAAAAAAGGACAAUCACCAGAAUACCAUAAUUUGCUGAGGAUGGGUCUGGUGGAAUCAAUUGAUGGUCUCAUGUAUACCCGUAUGUCCCUCGUACCUGAAACUGAUUAUACCCCCUUUCCAAUGGCUUGGAGGCCUGAUCAUGAGAAGGCACUGCUUGAAUAUAUAAAGCUGAGUGACCGAAAAACUCUGGAUGAGCAACAGAACUUUCUUAAAGAACAAGGUCUGAUUUCACCUCAGGAUUACAUUUCAAUGCUUGUUUGGAACUACAAAAGAAACGCUGUUCCAGUAGAACAGAAAAGUUUGUUAUUAGGCACAGGUGAGGAAAAAGAUAAUGAAAGUGAUGAAGACGAUGAAGAAGUGGUUCAUGCAGCUGAAGUUUAAGCGAGAUUAGUACUUUUUGGAAGUCUUUUAGACAAUUUUUUGCCAAAGAUUUUAUCGUACUGAACAAACUUGUGUUACCAAGCAAAGAAUACCAGCUUGUAUUACACAACUGGUAGUUGCCAAAUCUUAAGAAGAUACAUUAGGUAGAUCAGAAGGGACGGAGGAAACUUGCUUAAUGAUGCACCAGG
Nicotiana attenuata is the source of this 2548-nucleotide RNA transcript. RefSeq lists it as uncharacterized. The transcript has 2 exons. Lineage: Eukaryota; Viridiplantae; Streptophyta; Magnoliopsida; Solanales; Solanaceae. The record is from RefSeq and is a predicted model, not a curated record.